AAACAGCAGCAGGGAGGACACUCCCCUGCAGCACCUACAACACCAGAGACUGCAGCAGCAGCAGCCUCUCCUGAUCCCCCCAGAGACCUGACAGACUCUCAGGAAUUGGCUGCGCCGAUGGAGAGACUUACCUCGAAAGUUGGGGCUGCAAUUGAGGAGACCCGUGGGGAGGUUCGUGCCCAGGUUCAACCUAUCGCAUCCAUCCUGCAGAAGCACGAGCAGGAGAUCCAGGGCCUUGGGGAAAGGCUGGAGGAGGUGGAGGGUUGAACGAAGGCCUUGGAAGCUGCAACGGAGUCCUCAUCCAUUCGAAUCCAGGUGCUGGAGCAAGAAGCGCAGGCCUCGUAAGACCAUAUCGACGACCUUGAUUGGAUAAAUCUUCUAAUUUUUGGGCUCCCUGAAGUUACGGAAGAUGUCAUCAACUGUGCUAUCAAGCUGAACCUACUCAGUGAUGCCUAGUUUGGAUUCCGUCAGCGUCACUCAGCUCCUGACCUCAUUACAGCCUUGGUUCAAACAUGAACAAAACCAGUGAAUUCCAGAGGUGAGGUGAGAGAUAACCACAUGAUGAUGGAAAUUAGGACAGCACUCCAAUAAAAUUGAAUGAGAUUAAGACUGAAGCCCAGUUGGUACAUCAGCUGAUCUAUGGAUUAAAACAUCUAAUACUGUAGGUUAUAAUAGAGUCUGUUGUUGGACCAAUACAAUUCUUAAAAGGAAAGAAAGCUGCUGUUGCCCCAUACUCAGGACACAUGUUGGCAAUAGUUGCUCGAUCAGCAAUGGAUAAUCGCACCACUCCUG
Molecule: long non-coding RNA, 792 nt
Organism: Chiloscyllium plagiosum (whitespotted bambooshark)
Lineage: Eukaryota; Metazoa; Chordata; Chondrichthyes; Orectolobiformes; Hemiscylliidae
Source: RefSeq, a predicted model, not a curated record